This 320-nucleotide ribosomal RNA is filed under the name uncultured Bacteroidales bacterium. RNAcentral's name for it is "partial 16S ribosomal RNA". The record is from RNAcentral. Lineage: Bacteria; Pseudomonadati; Bacteroidota; Bacteroidia; Bacteroidales.
GGAGUUUGGACCGUGUCUCAGUUCCAAUGUGGGGGAUCCUCCUCUCAGAGCCCCUACCGAUCGUCGCCUUGGUGGGCCGUUACCCCGCCAACAAGCUAAUCGGACGCAUCCUCAUCCGUUACCGAUGAAUCUUUAUUCCGUAGGUCAUGCGGCUUACGGAAACCAUCGGGUAUUAAUCUUUCUUUCGAAAGGCUAUCCCCGAGUAACGGGCAGAUUGGAUACGUGUUACGCACCCGUGCGCCGGUCGCCAUCAAAGUCAGCAAGCUGACUCCAUGCUGCCCCUCGACUUGCAUGUGUUAAGCCUGUAGCUAGCGUUCAUC